AGAGUUUGAUCCUGGCUCAGAAUGAACGCUGGCGGCGUGCUUAACACAUGCAAGUCGCACGAGAACCCCCCUGCUUGCAGGGGCUAGUAAAGUGGCGCACGGGUGAGUAUCGCGUGGAUAAUCUACCUUCGAAUCCGGGAUAACACUGCGAAAGCGGUGCUAAUACCGGAUAACAUUCGGCGGUCUUCGGACCGCUUGAUCAAAGGUGGCCUCUACAUGUAAGCUACUGUUCGAAGAGGAGUCCGCGUACCAUUAGCUUGUUGGCGGGGUAAAGGCCCACCAAGGCUACGAUGGUUAGCUGGUCUGAGAGGAUGAUCAGCCACACUGGAACUGACACACGGUCCAGACUCCUACGGGAGGCAGCAGUGAGGAAUUUUGCGCAAUGGGGGAAACCCUGACGCAGCAACGCCGCGUGAGUGAUGAAGGCCCUCGGGUCGUAAAGCUCUGUCAAGUGGGAAGAACCAGCUCCGUGCCAAUACCACGGAGCCCUGACGGUACCACUGAAGGAAGCACCGGCUAACUCCGUGCCAGCAGCCGCGGUAAUACGGAGGGUGCGAGCGUUAUUCGGAUUUAUUGGGCGUAAAGGGCACGCAGGCGGCUGUCUAAGUCAGAUGUGAAAGCCCGGGGCUCAACCCCGGAAGUGCAUUUGAAACUGGGCAGCUUGAGUAUGGGAGAGGGAAGUGGAAUUCCUGGUGGAGAGGUGAAAUUCGUAGAUAUCAGGAGGAACACCGGUGGCGAAGGCGACUUCCUGGACCAAUACUGACGCUGAGGUGCGAAGGCGUGGGGAGCAAACAGGAUUAGAUACCCUGGUAGUCCACGCAGUAAACGUUGAUCACUAGGUGUAGCGGGUAUUGACCCCUGCUGUGCCGCAGCUAACGCAUUAAGUGAUCCGCCUGGGGAGUACGGCCGCAAGGUUAAAACUCAAAGGAAUUGACGGGGGCCCGCACAAGCGGUGGAGCAUGUGGUUUAAUUCGACGCAACGCGAAAAACCUUACCUGGGUUUGACAUCCCGGGAAUCCCUCUGAAAAGAGGAAGUGCCCUUCGGGGAGCCCGGUGACAGGUGCUGCAUGGCUGUCGUCAGCUCGUGUCGUGAGAUGUUGGGUUAGGUCCCGCACGAGCGCACCCCUACUUUAGUUGCCAUCAUUUGGUUGGGACUCUAAUGGACUGCCCCGGUUAACGGGAGAAGGGGGAGACGUCAGUCCUCAUGGCUUAUGCCAGGCUACACCGUGCUACAUGGCGUACAAGGUGCGAUCCCAGGGACCAUCCAAAGCGUUCUCGUCGGAUGAUCUGACUCACUCUGAGUGAUCCUGUAUCGACACAGCCGGUGAACAUCCCGCCUUGACACCGCCGUCACCAGAGAUGUUGUCCAAUGUGCGCAACCUUCGGAGCAGCCCUGUGA
RNAcentral lists this ribosomal RNA (1399 nucleotides) under uncultured bacterium. RNAcentral describes it as "partial 16S ribosomal RNA". It matches the Rfam family "Bacterial small subunit ribosomal RNA", at positions 8 to 1310 of the family's 1533-position model. The record is from RNAcentral.